CCUACGAGAGGCUGCAGUCGAGAAUCAUUCACAAUGGGGGAAACCCUGAUGGUGCGACGCCGCGUGGGGGAAUGAAGGUCUUCGGAUUGUAAACCCCUGUCAUGUGGGAGCAAAUUAAAAAGCUAGUACCCCAAGAGGAAGAGCCGGCUAACUCUGUGCCAGCGGCCCCGGUAAUACAGAGGUCUCAAGCUUUGUUCGGAAUCACUGGGCGUAAAGCGUGCAUGGGCUGUUUCGUAAGUCGUGUGUGAAAGGCGCGGGCUCAACCCGCGGACGGCCCAUGAUACUGCGGGACUAGAGUAAUGGAGGGGGAGCCGGAAUUCUCGGUGUAGCAGUGAAAUGCGUAGAUAUCGAGAGGAACACUCGUGGCGAAGGCGGGUUCCUGGACAUUAACUGACGCUGAGGCACGAAGGCCAGGGGAGCGAAAGGGAUUAGAUACCCCAGUAGUC
This 446-nucleotide ribosomal RNA is filed under the name uncultured bacterium. RNAcentral's name for it is "partial 16S ribosomal RNA". It matches the Rfam family "Bacterial small subunit ribosomal RNA", at positions 338 to 795 of the family's 1533-position model. The record is from RNAcentral.